RNAcentral lists this ribosomal RNA (625 nucleotides) under Rhodotorula mucilaginosa. RNAcentral describes it as "LSU rRNA". It matches the Rfam family "Eukaryotic large subunit ribosomal RNA", at positions 32 to 669 of the family's 3401-position model. Lineage: Eukaryota; Fungi; Basidiomycota; Microbotryomycetes; Sporidiobolales; Sporidiobolaceae. The record is from RNAcentral.
UUUUGCUAUUAUCAAUAAGCGGAGGAAAAGAAAACUAACAAAGGAUUUCCCCUAGUAGCGGCGAGCGAAAGCGGGAAGAGCUCAAAUUUAUAAUCUGGCACCUUCGGUGUCCGAGUUGUAAUCUCUAGAAAUGUUUUCCGCGUUGGACCGCACACAAGUCUGUUGGAAUACAGCGGCAUAGUGGUGAGACCCCCGUAUAUGGUGCGGACGCCCAGCGCUUUGUGAUACAUUUUCGAAGAGUCGAGUUGUUUGGGAAUGCAGCUCAAAUUGGGUGGUAAAUUCCAUCUAAAGCUAAAUAUUGGCGAGAGACCGAUAGCGAACAAGUACCGUGAGGGAAAGAUGAAAAGCACUUUGGAAAGAGAGUUAACAGUACGUGAAAUUGUUGGAAGGGAAACGCUUGAAGUCAGACUUGCUUGCUGAGCAAUCGGUUUGCAGGCCAGCAUCAGUUUUCCGGGAUGGAUAAUGGUAGAGAGAAGGUAGCAGUUUCGGCUGUGUUAUAGCUCUCUGCUGGAUACAUCUUGGGGGACUGAGGAACGCAGUGUGCCUUUGGCGGGGGUUUCGACCUCUUCACACUUAGGAUGCUGGUGGAAUGGCUUUAAACGACCCGUCUUGAAACACGGACCAA